RNAcentral lists this ribosomal RNA (157 nucleotides) under Ischnolepis graminifolia. Its description in RNAcentral is "5.8S ribosomal RNA". It matches the Rfam family "5.8S ribosomal RNA". Rfam says of the family: 5.8S ribosomal RNA (5.8S rRNA) is a component of the large subunit of the eukaryotic ribosome. Lineage: Eukaryota; Viridiplantae; Streptophyta; Magnoliopsida; Gentianales; Apocynaceae. The record is from RNAcentral.
GACUCUCGGCUACGGAUAUCUAGGCUCUAGCAUCUAUCAAGAAUGUAGCAAACUGCGAUACUUGGUGUGAAUUGCAGAAUCCCGUGAACCAUCGAGUCUUUGAACGCAAGUUGCGCCUGAAGCCACUAGGCUGAGGGCACGUCUGCCUGGGCGUCAC